This 697-nucleotide long non-coding RNA is filed under the name Pogona vitticeps (central bearded dragon). RNAcentral describes it as "lncRNA (ENSPVIG00000011964.1)". The record is from RNAcentral. Lineage: Eukaryota; Metazoa; Chordata; Lepidosauria; Squamata; Agamidae.
AGUCAUGCUUUGAGCCAGGGUGAUGCAAAAGUACAUCCAGGCUCAAAAGCAACCUUAAGGACAAAGCCUUUUCUGAGAUUUAGGCAGCUAAGAGUUGUUCCCACCAAAAACAAUACAAGCUUCCUACCUCUCCUCACAGAGUAACAUGGCUUCAGUGCUCAAGCAGAGUUCCUCAUAACAGCAGACUGGCUGACAUGUUCCAGCCAGAAUAAAGCUACUGUCCAGAGCUGCUAAGCUCAGCCAUUUCCUCCAGCUGCCCUUAUAUCCCAUCACCCUCCAUCAGAGCCUGCAACCUUUCCAACCAAGCAGGUGCCGUCCUUUCUGAAGCCAACUAAUUGGUAACUUCUGGAAGAGUAGCUCCUGGAGGUCACCAGGUGUGCCUAAUUAGCACACCAAGGGAAGCCAAAAAAUCCUCCCCAGUUUCAAGGCCUAUAGAUAGCAUUUUUCACAGCCAAGAUGGCUCCCUCAUUGCCCAAGCCUUCUUUCUCUCCUCUCCACUCUUUUUGUAAUUCUGAAGUGAAUAAGACAUCCAAAAUAUAUAAACAGUUUAAUGCCAUGUUUCCUGUAACCACAAGGAAAUCAGACUUUGGGUUCCAGUUACAAAAUGGAUUAAAUAGACUUCUCUCUAGCUAAAACUGCCACAGCUGUUAAUUCUGGAAGAAAUGUCAGUAUUAUUAAUACCUCAUUUAAAAUCUCU